GUAGUAGAUGAAAUGUCCAGAUUCAAAUCGGUGCGCAGUUGAUUCCUGGCCGCACUAUAUGCGGGGCAGUUUUUCUGUGGAAGGGAUUGUUUUGCCUCGCCAUUUAGUACUCUUACUAAGUGGAAAGUGGCGUCAUCUGUUGACAAAAAAAGAAAUUCGGGUUAAUUGGGUAGGGCCCCAAGUGGACGGUCGCCCUUCGUUUCCAUCGUACAAUUUUAGCAUUUAUCAACCGUAUUUAAUCUAUUAAUCGAAAUUGGAAAAGUCGACUCCGAUAUCCAAAAUAAAUAAAAAAUUUUGAAAAUGACCAAAAGUUACCGAUUCGAUUAUUAAUUUUUUCUUUUAUUUUUAUCAAUUCUCGGAUCACAAGCGUUUAAACCUCGAUUUUCUUCGGUAAUAUGGCCUAUAAAAUUUGGCUUAGUGUGGUUAUCGACAAUUUUGUACGGUCGGUCCGCGGUUCUAAAGAAACUUGGUCUUAAAUCGUACCGAUAAAAUCCGUACUUUAUAUAAAAUCCCGCCUUUCUCUCUCUCUCUUUCCCACGCAUUUCCGCACUAUAUACCAGGUAAAAUUAUGGUAAAAAAGUUCAAAUUUCGCGUAUUAUCAUCAUCAUUAUUCGACUCUUACAGGUAAUUAAAUUUUAGAUAUUUAACCGAGAAUGUGGAUGCUUAUAAAAUUCAUUUCGCCUUCCAUCGGGCCGAAGUCCGAUGGCCGGAAUAGAUUAGGAACUCGGCUAAAUGGCCAAUUUAUUCUAGGGGUCGAUGGAUUAUAGUAGUUAUUUAUCCAGUCGGUGAAGCCAAAAAUUGGUUAAAUUAUAAUAUUGUAGCCAUUUACCUCAGCGUAAAUAAUAAUUUGCCAAGAUGAUACGCUAAAAAUCCUGAUUCCAGAAAAUGCAAAUGCGUAUUAAUGACGUAACUCAGUGAUUUCCAAAGUGUGGGGCGCGCGAGAACUAACAAAAAUUAUCAUUUUUGAGGCGAAUAAAUUCAAAUUGUUGAGGGAAAAAAAUGAAUGGCCAGUAACCAAAUCUCCAAUCAGCCUUCGAUUCGAGACGAUCUGUGCCGAAAAAUAAGUCCAUUCACGCCAUUAAAUAUUAUGCUGUGUUUUAAACUUGUAUUCUAUUUUUCUCUUUGGUGAGAUUUGUUUGGUGGUGUUAAAAAUUACCACACCAUCAUAAAUAUAUACACCCUAUAUUUUUAUAUAUAAGAACUUUGUUUAUACAAAAUAUG
RNAcentral lists this long non-coding RNA (1221 nucleotides) under Androctonus crassicauda. The record is from RNAcentral. Lineage: Eukaryota; Metazoa; Arthropoda; Arachnida; Scorpiones; Buthidae.